Molecule: long non-coding RNA, 1178 nt
Filed under: Brassica rapa (field mustard)
Lineage: Eukaryota; Viridiplantae; Streptophyta; Magnoliopsida; Brassicales; Brassicaceae
Description: long non-coding RNA (BRAP_LNC000132)
Source: RNAcentral
UGAGAUAAUUUUUUUUGUCGAUUAUAUUUAAACGGAUUAACUUUUAUUCUUACAAAACCUAAACCGGCAAAGAACACACUCAUUCCAGAACCAUAAGCCGGCAUGGCAAAGAUUUUCCCCCAGUAACAAGACCAAUAACAAAACAUAAUACAUAAAUUAAAAGCAAGGACAAGCAAGAGUAUUAAGAACCUCUAGGGCUAACACAUAAUCACUAAAGAGCAAAGCUAGCAUGAACCGGAUGCCAUAAUGAUCGAAAAAGCGUUGGAGGUCACAUUUAUUUGGGAUGAGAGCAAGGCUUAAGUACCAACUCUAAUAAGUACUAACAAAGAACCGCCACUUAAGAGCAAGCGUCAACCAUAGGAAGCUCCAAGAAAACUGAUCUCCACCCGAACAGUCGGCGAAGAAACACAUUGACAAUCAAUGGCUCAUAGACCCAACACGAUUGAGCUAAAGCUCCACAGUACCUUACCAAAAAUUCAGAUCAACCCGUCAAUUAAAUACCAAGGAACAUCACAACAUAUCAGCACUGAAGCUUCACAAUGAACAAUUAAUCUCAAAGGUCAAACGAGGCCACCUUAAGCCCCAAUAUAAUUGUGCGCCACAGCCAAGAGCCCUCGCCAUGGACUCAUCUAACAUUGUUUCAAGACCACUCCUUCCCCAUAACAUCAUAUAACUCUGAGUUCAAGUUACAUAUUAGAAAAGUUGACUAUAUUAUAGGUGAUUAGAUACUUAACUAGAAAAAAUAUAUUAGGAAGUGGAUAACUGUAUUAUAAGAUAAUUUUUUUUAAUAUAAUAUGGUGCAAAAUAUAUUAGAUCCAUAUAAUAAGAAAGAAAAAUAUAGUUGUAACGUCCCGAUCGUCCAUGACUAAUGAGUCACUCACGCCUGCUCAUUCGGUCCGUGGGCCACAUCCUGUCUGACGAGCGAUGCGUUAUUUUUCGAAGGCUCUAAAUUAUUUUUAUUUUUACUGAACCUGCAAUCACCACAUGAUAUUUCGCCCUACUUUGGUCUCACUCACACGGUUAAGAUUACAAGUCCGAUUGUUUAUGACUUUCAUGACUUUUAUGGUUGAGAUUUUUAAUUUUAAGUUGACUGUUAAAACUUUUGGAUAUUAAAAAUUGAACUGGUUUUAGAAUUUGUUUUCUUUUAACAUCUGACUAAUUAUGUGAUUAUAACAUUG